RNAcentral lists this ribosomal RNA (494 nucleotides) under uncultured bacterium. RNAcentral describes it as "bacterial SSU rRNA". It matches the Rfam family "Bacterial small subunit ribosomal RNA", at positions 35 to 518 of the family's 1533-position model. The record is from RNAcentral.
GGACGAACGGCUGGCGGCGUGCCUAACACAUGCAAGUCGAACGGGGUUGUUAACUUAAUCUCUUCGGAGAAGCGGUUUCAGCUUAGUGGCGAACGGGUGAGUAACACGUGAGCAAUCUGCCUCUCAGAGGGGGAUACCGUCUGGAAACGGACGUUAAUACCGCAUAACGUAUGUUGAUCGCAUGGUCGAUAUACCAAAGGAGCAAUCCGCUGAGAGAUGAGCUCGCGUCUGAUUAGCCAGUUGGCGGGGUAACGGCCCACCAAAGCUACGAUCAGUAGCCGGACUGAGAGGUUGAACGGCCACAUUGGGACUGAGACACGGCCCAGACUCCUACGGGAGGCAGCAGUGGGGAGUAUUGCGCAAUGGGGGAAACCCUGACGCCAGCAACGCCGCGUGUGGGAAGAAGGUCUUCGGAUUGUAAACCAUUGUUCUGUGGGACGAUGCAAGACGGUACCACAGGAGAAAGCUCCGGCUAACUACGUGCCAGCAGCCGC